UACGGGGGGAGCAAGCGUUGUUCGGAAUUACUGGGCGUAAAGCGCGCGUAGGCGGCUUUUCAAGUCGAUUGUGAAAUCCCCGGGCUUAACCUGGGAACUGCAGUCGAGACUGUCUAGCUAGAGUAUGGGAGAGGGAAGUGGAAUUUCAGGUGUAGCGGUGAAAUGCGUAGAUAUCUGAAGGAACAUCAGUGGCGAAAGCGACUUCCUGGACCAAUACUGACGCUCAUGUGCGAAAGCGUGGGGAGCAAACAGG
RNAcentral lists this ribosomal RNA (253 nucleotides) under uncultured bacterium. RNAcentral describes it as "partial 16S ribosomal RNA". It matches the Rfam family "Bacterial small subunit ribosomal RNA", at positions 524 to 776 of the family's 1533-position model. The record is from RNAcentral.